Molecule: ribosomal RNA, 493 nt
Filed under: Lebinthus bitaeniatus
Lineage: Eukaryota; Metazoa; Arthropoda; Insecta; Orthoptera; Gryllidae
Description: partial 16S ribosomal RNA
Rfam family: Bacterial large subunit ribosomal RNA
Source: RNAcentral
UCUUCUUGUAUUAAUUGGAGGUCGGGCCUGUCCACUGAAAAUUUUUGAAGGACCGCGGUAUUUUGACCGUGCAAAGGUAGCAUAAUCAUUAGUCUUUUAAUUGAAGGCUGGAAUGAAUGGUUUGACGAAAUAACAGCUGUCUCAAUAUAAUUUAAUUGAAUUUUACUUUUAAGUUAAAAGGCUUAAAUUUUGAUAAGGGACGAGAAGACCCUAUAGAUCUUUAUGAUGUAUAUUAUAUUAUUAAAUUUGGGAGUUAUUUAUUAUUUUAUAAUUUAUAUUAUUUUAUUGGGGUGAUAUGAGAAUAUAUAAGCUUCUUAAUUUUUAACUUUGAUAGAAGAAUAAUUGAUCCUUUAAUAUGGAAUUAAGAUUAAGAUACCUUAGGGAUAACAGCGUAAUCUUAUUGGAGAGUUCUUAUUGAUAAUGAGGAUUGCGACCUCGAUGUUGGAUUAAGAAUAUAAUUUGGUGUAGGUGCUAAAAUAUUAUUGGUCUGUUC